GUGUGUGUGUGUACGUGUGUGUCAGUAUGUCUGCCAGGAUAUAUUUGUGUGUCAGUGUAUGUGUGUGUCAGUAUGUAUCUGUGAAUGUUUUAAUGUCUGUCUGUGUGUGUGUGUCAGCAUGUCUUUGUGUGUCAGUAUGUCUGUGUGUGUAUGUAAGUAUGUCUGUGUGUGUAUGUGUGUGUCAGUCAGUAUGUCUGUCAGUGUAUGUGUCUGUGUG
Molecule: non-coding RNA, 217 nt
Organism: Pelobates cultripes (western spadefoot toad)
Lineage: Eukaryota; Metazoa; Chordata; Amphibia; Anura; Pelobatidae
Source: the annotation of a GenBank genome assembly